RNAcentral lists this ribosomal RNA (491 nucleotides) under uncultured bacterium. RNAcentral's name for it is "partial 16S ribosomal RNA". It matches the Rfam family "Bacterial small subunit ribosomal RNA", at positions 899 to 1397 of the family's 1533-position model. The record is from RNAcentral.
ACUCAAAUGAAUUGACGGGGACCCGCACAACCGGUGGAGCGUGUGGUUCAAUUCGAGACAAAACGAAAAACCUCACCAGGGUUUGACAUGCAAUCGUACAUUCUCCAAGAAACUGGAGGAAAUCCGCAAGGAUGAUUGCACAGGUGCUGCAUGGCUGUCGUCAGCUCGUGCCGUGAGGUGUUCCCUUAAGUGGGGAAACGAGCGCAACCCCCGUCCAAUGUUAGAUUGUUCAUUGGAGACUGCUCUGAUUUUAUCAGAGAGGAAGGAGGGGAAGACGUCAAGUCAGCACGGCCCUUAUACCCUGGGCUACACACACACUACAAUGGCGAAGAACAACGAGUUGCAAGUACGUAAGUGCAAGCAAAUCCCUAAAAUUUCGCCUCAGUUCAGAUUGGGGUCUGAAACCCGACCCCAUGAAGUCGGAAUCGGUAGUAAUCGCGGAUCAGCAUGCCGCGGUGAAUACGUUCUCGGGUCUUGUACACACCGCCCGU